ACUCCUACGGGAGGCAGCAGUGAGGAAUAUUGCACAAUGGGCGCAAGCCUGAUGCAGCAACGCCGCGUGGGGGAUGAAGGCCUUCGGGUCGUAAACCCCUUUUCCAUGGGAAGAGAAAGGACGGUACCAUGGGAAUAAGUCUCGGCUAACUACGUGCCAGCAGCCGCGGUAAAACGUAGGAGGCGAACGUUAUCCGGAAUUACUGGGCGUAAAGCGCGCGCAGGCGGCUUCGUAAGUCCGAUGUGAAAGCUCUCGGCUUAACUGGGAGAGGCCAUUGGAUACUGCGGAGCUUGAGGUUAGGAGAGGAAAGCGGAAUUCCCGGUGUAGUGGUGGAAUGCGUAGAUAUCGGGAGGAACUCCAGAGGCGAAGGCGGCUUUCUGGCCUACACCUGACGCUGAGGCGCGAAAGCGUGGGGAGCGAACAGGAUUAGAUACCCUGGUAGUCCACGCUGUAAACGAUGUGAACUAGGUGUUGGUGGUAUCGACCCCAUCAGUGCCGUAGCUAACGCGGUAAGUUCACCGCCUGGGGACUACGGCCGCAAGGCUAAAACUCAAAGGAAUUGACGGGGGCCCGCACAAGCAGCGGAGCGUGUGGUUUUAAUUCGAUGCAACGCGAAGAACCUUACCUGGGUUUGACAUGUACGUAGUAGGAAGCCGAACGGUGACCGACCCCUCU
This 675-nucleotide ribosomal RNA is filed under the name uncultured Chloroflexota bacterium. RNAcentral describes it as "bacterial SSU rRNA". It matches the Rfam family "Bacterial small subunit ribosomal RNA", at positions 335 to 1022 of the family's 1533-position model. The record is from RNAcentral. Lineage: Bacteria; Bacillati; Chloroflexota.